Molecule: ribosomal RNA, 425 nt
Filed under: uncultured bacterium
Lineage: Bacteria
Description: bacterial SSU rRNA
Rfam family: Bacterial small subunit ribosomal RNA
Source: RNAcentral
GCAAGGAAUUUUCGGCAAUGGGCGCAAGCCUGACCGAGCAACGCCGCGUGGAGGACGACGGCCUUCGGGUUGUAAACUCCUUUUGCGGGGGACGACAUCGACUGUACCCCGCGAAUCAGGCUCGGCUAACUCUGUGCCAGCAGCCGCGGUAAGACAGAGGAGCCAAGCGUUGUCCGGAUUGACUGGGCGUAAAGCGCACGCAGGCGGCUGGGCACGUGGGGUGUGAAACCUGGCGGCUUAACUGCCAGACGCCACCUCAUACGGCCCGGCUCGAGGCAGGCAGAGGUUCGUGGAAUUGCCGGUGUAGUGGUGAAAUGCGUAGAGAUCGGCAGGAACACCAAGGGCGAAAGCAGCGAACUGGGCCUGUUCUGACGCUCAGGUGCGAAAGCGUGGGGAGCGAACCGGAUUAGAAACCCCAGUAGUCC